Long non-coding RNA from Felis catus (domestic cat), 1147 nucleotides. RefSeq lists it as uncharacterized. The transcript is spliced from 3 exons. The record is from RefSeq and is a predicted model, not a curated record. NCBI's taxonomy places the organism in Eukaryota, Metazoa, Chordata, Mammalia, Carnivora, Felidae.
CGGGUGGCAAGCUCCAGGAAGCGCUGAAAGAGCUGAUUUGCGGUGACGGGUUAUGUAUGAGGCGGGACUUCCGGGGCAGCCGUAGUAGGUAGUGUCGGGAGGUGUAGUGGGAAGGAAAGGACACGUCAGCAUCUGGCCGCGGGGCGCGGGGGGCCAUGGGAGCCCCGGGGGCGGGACAGCCUCUACUUCCAGUCUAGUCCCGCCCAUUGCGCCCCGCCCCGCGGGCCAGCGGGGAGCCCACGUGUACUGCUGAGUUCCAGGAGGGCGCAUCCGGAGCCAAGGAGGCGAGGACCUGAACAAUCUCCGUACAGGCUGCACACCUAAUUCCGACAUUUUACGUCAGCUAAAAGUGUGGGGAGGACUUGGAAAAGUCUGAGCAUCGUUAAAUCUGCGGAUGCUGGCGUUGACGGAACGCGGCCAGGCACCCUUCCUGUAGUUGGGAGUGUAUCUCUCGUGUUUGUGUCGCCGGUGUCUGGCGCUUUACGUGUCACAGCCCCAAGACACCAGAAGUUACCCAGUUGCAAACCAGAAAUCUGGAGAUCAUCAGUGACACCUCCCCUUUCUCAUUCCUCACUUCCUAGUCAACCUCUGAAAUGUUGGAUCCACAGCGGCACAGUCAAGCACACAGGCCCCAGAAACCGACCACCUGGGUUCACAUCCCAACAUUGUAUAAGCUUGAGCGCACAGAGGAAAGACCAUUGGAGGGCACAGUGAGAAGAUGGCCGUCUGCAAGCCAGAAGGAGACUUCUCACCAGACAACUCUGACACCUUAAUCUUGGACUUCUAGCCUCCAGAGUUAUGAGAACACGUUUCUGGUUUUUAAGCCGCCCAUUUUGUAGUAUGUUGUUAGUCCAAACUGACCAGUACAAAGUUUCACUGUAUGUUUACUUAAAAGAAAAGCCUCCAAACCCAAGUUGUCCAGAUCAGCCCUGAUCAGAAGAACUUUCUGUGAUGGUGGAAAUAUUCUGUAUAUGCUCUGCCCAACACAGUAGUCACCAGCUACACGUGGCUAAUGAGGACUUGAAAUUCAGCCAGUGCAGGGGCACCUGGGUGGCUCAGUCGGUUGAGCGUCUGACUUUAGCUCAGGUCAUGAUCUCACAGUUUGAGCUCAAGCCUCACAUCGGGCUGUGUGCUGACAACUCAGAGC